RNAcentral lists this long non-coding RNA (295 nucleotides) under Homo sapiens (human). Its description in RNAcentral is "HSALNT0352959". Lineage: Eukaryota; Metazoa; Chordata; Mammalia; Primates; Hominidae. The record is from RNAcentral.
AGUUAUUCAGGGAUCCAGGCUCACUCCAGCAAGAAUGUGGGACUAUUAUCUUCCCCUGUGCUUCUUGAAGUUGGUGUGACUGUGAUCUGAUUUGGUCGACAUAAUGUGAGAAGUCUGUCACUUCCAAGCAGCAUCAUUUAAUUGCUGCUGCGUGCUUCUCUAUCUUCUCUUCUCUGUUGCAACAAAUCCUGGAGCCUUGUGACGAUCAUAAAAUGGGAACAUCUUUGUUAUCCCAGGUCCUGCACGGUAACUGUGUGAAGCACAGCCCUCACCCCUCUGGCUGGACAUGUUGCGU